This 273-nucleotide ribosomal RNA is filed under the name uncultured bacterium. RNAcentral's name for it is "partial 16S ribosomal RNA". It matches the Rfam family "Bacterial small subunit ribosomal RNA", at positions 524 to 796 of the family's 1533-position model. The record is from RNAcentral.
UACGUAGGUGGCAAGCGUUGUCCGGAUUUAUUGGGUUUAAAGGGUGCGUAGGCGGUCUUAUAAGUCAGUGCUGAAAUAUCCCGGCUUAACCGGGAGGGUGGCAUUGAUACUGUAGGACUUGAGUAAAGUUGAGGUUGGCGGAAUUGACGGUGUAGCGGUGAAAUGCUUAGAUAUCGUCAAGAACACCUAUUGCGAAGGCAGCUAACUAAGCUUUAACUGACGCUGAGGCACGAAAGUGUGGGGAUCAAACAGGAUUAGAAACCCCCGUAGUCC